This 369-nucleotide unclassified non-coding RNA is filed under the name fungal sp. Its description in RNAcentral is "partial internal transcribed spacer region". The stretch from base 1 to 46 matches the Rfam family "Eukaryotic small subunit ribosomal RNA", at positions 1786 to 1831 of the family's 1831-position model. Lineage: Eukaryota; Fungi. The record is from RNAcentral.
AAGUCGUAACAAGGUUUCCGUAGGUGAACCUGCGGAAGGAUCAUUAUUACGUAUCCAACGUAUCAACCCAAUAGUGAAUUUGUUUCCCGUCUGAUUUGAGGGUAUCUGCGACCAAAUAAGGAGCUUCAAAAAUGCAUGAUGAGGAAGGGUCAAACCUUCUUCGAGGCUUUCGGUCCUAGUAGUUGAACCUCUUGUUCAAAGUGGUUCUUGCUACUAGCUCAUCAGAUGUGGUUUUUAUUUUAUCAUCAUGCGAACUUAUUAACCCCAUGUAACAAAAACUCUGAACUAAAAGAUUUGCUACCUGAUAAAAAGGGUGGUAAAAAGACUGAAAUUAAGAAACAACUCUUAACAACGGAUAUCUUGGUUCUC